GGAAAUGUGGCUUAGUGGUAGAGUGCUUGCCUAGCAUGCAUGAAGCCCUGGGUUCAAUUCCUCAGAACCA
RNAcentral lists this transfer RNA (70 nucleotides) under Dipodomys ordii (Ord's kangaroo rat). It matches the Rfam family "tRNA". From Rfam's summary of the family: Transfer RNA (tRNA) molecules are approximately 80 nucleotides in length. Their secondary structure includes four short double-helical elements and three loops (D, anti-codon, and T loops). The record is from Rfam by way of RNAcentral. Lineage: Eukaryota; Metazoa; Chordata; Mammalia; Rodentia; Heteromyidae.